Molecule: ribosomal RNA, 253 nt
Filed under: uncultured bacterium
Lineage: Bacteria
Description: partial 16S ribosomal RNA
Rfam family: Bacterial small subunit ribosomal RNA
Source: RNAcentral
UACGUAGGGUGCGAGCGUUGCCCGGAUUUAUUGGGCGUAAAGGGUGCGUAGGCGGCGCGGUAAGUCGGGUGUGAAAUCUUGGAGCUUAACUCCGAAACUGCAUUCGAUACUGCCGUGCUUGAGGACUGGAGAGGAGACUGGAAUUUACGGUGUAGCGGUGAAAUGCGUAGAGAUCAUGAGGAAGACCAGUGGCGAAGGCGGGUCUCUGGACAGUUCCUGACACUGAGGCACGAAGGCCAGGGGAGCAAACGGG